Armigeres subalbatus is the source of this 4527-nucleotide long non-coding RNA. RefSeq lists it as uncharacterized. The record is from RefSeq and is a predicted model, not a curated record. NCBI's taxonomy places the organism in Eukaryota, Metazoa, Arthropoda, Insecta, Diptera, Culicidae. The transcript is spliced from 3 exons.
UGAAAAUACACUAAAUACGCUGUCAGUUAUCACGCAUGUUUUUCUCACCGUGCAUUACUGACAGCAUCGAUGUUUUUGUUAUUUCUGUCAAACCUGUGUGUCAAUCAUUCGGUUGAUUUUAAUAUCGCUUAUAUUUUCGGCGCUACUGGCUCAUUCUCUGGUUUAGGUAGUGAUCCACACCGAUCAGUUUGCUGUUCCAGUGGUUGGGCCGUAGUCUGUGCCAUCCGGAAACUGGUGGAAGACCGGCGCCAAUGGUGUUGGUUAGGACUUGAUCCGUGAUCCUAAUCAGGAAACUGCUGGGGAUGUCGUCCUCUGUUCUUUCGGUAAAACUGAUAGUCCUACCACAUAGCGCUGCCGUUGCUCGAUAUCGAAACUGUAAAAUUCCAGCUUCUGCGCAUGCAACUACCGCCGGCGUGGAGGGCAGGAGUAUCUCGUUCAGGUCGUCGUAUUUGAUGCAAAUUAUUUCUAGGACAUAAAAAAGUCGGCUGCUUACUAUGGCGUCCUAUGGCGACCGCUUUCAUCGAUCCAGCGGCCGGAUUCCUCAUCCAUUUGGCGGGAUCUGUUAUUUCCGAUCAUCACUCUAAAGGUUAAGAAUUUGAGCAUGUUGCUAGUGGACGAGAGUCGUUGUAGGACUCCUGUGGUGCAAGCCCUAUUAUAAGCUAUGGCUAAAUCUAGCGUUGCGAUUUCAAUAUGCAUUCCAUCUGCAAUUGCAUCUUCAAUGAUCUGUCCCAGCGCCCCAAGGUACGUUCCGGUUCCUUGACCCGGACUAAAAGCAUGUUGCCGAUAGUCAGUUUUUGCUCCGUGUUGAUGAAUUUCAUCAAGCGUCUGUUUACCAUCCUUUCAAGGAUUUUGACCAUACAGUUUGUUAGAGCAACGGGUCUAUACUUUCGCACGUCGUUUGAGGAGCCGGUACACUUGGGAAUCAGAACUACCAAGCUAUAUUUCCAACUAUCGAUGGUAUCGAUGAAUCGCAACGUUUUGGAUUGCAGUCGCAUAGUUUUUAUGUUUGUUAAGGAAUUUAGUAGAGUAGCCGUCGAAAGCCGACAUAUCAUGGAAAUAGGUAACUAAAGCAUCCGCAAUCAUCCGGAUCAUUGGACGUUGUACCGUCUAUGUUUAAGGCAAUUCCAGAUUUUCUUCUUUUCCCUUGGAGGCUAUUAACUUUUAUGCGCUCCAAGAUUUUUCCUUGGUCUCUUUAAUGAUUUUUCGACAAUCAAGUUGAGCCUCUCUAUACGCGGUAGAUAUGCUAAUUACGUCAGGAUGGUAGUUUUCUCCUUUUUUGGUACAGAGUUGUACCGAAAGGCUAUAGGAUUACUUCAAAAAUGAGCUUUUGAUAGAAGGCCCGGAGACCCAUAGUGUUACAUACCGAUCGAUUCAGCUCUACGAACCGAGGUGAUGUCUGUUUGUAUGUAUGAUGUGUGUGUAUGUGUACAAAUUUUGUAAACACAUUUUUUGGAAUUUAGCAUUACCCGAUUUACUCGCAACAAACUGCAUUCGACGUAAUGUGGUCCCAUUGUUUGCUAUUGAAAAUUGGCCCGCUCGGACAUUGCAUUUCGGAAUUAUUGAAAAAUCAUUGUUUUUUCCCAAGGGUCCUCCCUUGGAAAAAAAAACAUCAAAAUCAAAUUACUUGUCAUAAGACGAGUUUGUACCAUCCCAUUUAAUUCCACCACUUGAUUGUAGGUCAAGUUACAUACAUACAAGAUACGUAUUUCGACCUCAACAGUAAGGUCGUCUGCAGUGUCUCGUAGUUGACUCGACUCGAGCUUUUUGGCUCAAAAUAAUUUUCUUAAUAAUUCAAAAUCAUAGUUUUUUCUUCAAAAAUGUUGGCAAUCUGGAGGUGCUAAUUCGUAAGUUUUUCGGCGACGAAACCCAUCCGGUCCACGAUGCCAGAAAGAGUGGUUAAUGUGGUGUAUACAUGUACCGGAUCUCGAUGCGAAUAAAGCCCGGUAAGUGCCAUUGCUGCAAUGGAACCGGAACAUAAACGAUGCUUACACACCAGCGUUUUACCUGUUGGUAGUGGCACGGUACCUGAAUGCAUAUCGAUUAUCGGUGACAGGUGACCAGUAGUCAAGAACAGACGGUACAGCAAAAGAGAGCAAGCGUACCAGUUCCUGGUUCCUACAGAUGUUGAGGAUGGACGAACGAAACAAAUCAGCGUGGGAAGCAAGGAACUGUUCAUUACAUUCAGGUGUAACGGAACUGGCGUUCUAACCAAAUUCUCAUCCGUGUCAGCAGUUUUAUCCACAACUACAUACCCAGCAAAAGCUCGGCAAAAAUUGUAGGACGAAAAUAUUUUACCGUACACGAAUAAUACAUCUGCGGGUUUACGGCACUGAAUAUCGGCCGAAGAGCUGAAACUGGUAACGGUGGAAACUGGUUGUAGAAAGAUAUAUACACUCAGUGCUUAAUGUAACAGCAAUUAGUCGAGUUGUGAAGGAUUUAAUUUAUUAUUCGGCAGAAUAGCAAAUGAUAAAUUUAAAUAUGUAAAACUAAAAAUAAAUUCUGAUAGAAUUAAAACUUAAAUAAAUGUUAAGUAUCAAUUGAAUAAAAAUGUAUUCGAACAAGACUCAAGUAAGAUUAGCACUAAAUUUAAAUUUCAUAGAAAUCAUAGGUUAUAUUUAUUUGAAAUAAAAAUAAACUAAAUUCCAAUUUAAUAAGUUAAACAAAGACUAAAACUUGAAAUGGAUUAUAAUUUAAAUGAAACUAAAUAGAAAUUUACUAACAAUCAAAUUGAAAUUGUAUCUGUAUUUAAAUAAAAAUAAAACAUUGAAUGGAACAUACAUUUAAAUCGAAUAAUUAUUGCACCAAAGUUAAAUCUAAACUAAAUUGAAAUUAUUAUGCUUUCAAAAUAAAUCUAGAAAAAGUUAGGCUAUAUUAAAACGGGAGGUAAAUAAAUAAAUUGUGAAUUAUUAAAAUCUGAAUUGAGAUUAGAAAAUAUUUUAUAUCUAUUGAAAUUGAAAAUAAUGAAAUGUGUUGAAUUAAAACGAAAAUAAUGUAAAUUUUAUCAAAAUUAAAUAAAAUUGAAUUAUAGUCAGAUGAGAAACAGACAAUUCUUGGAAAGUUGUUAACACAGUGAUCAAGAAAAUAUUUACUAAUAUGAAAUAAUUUGCUUCCAUGGGUACCGCGUCAUAUAUGUUCAAUAGUACAUCGACUUAUGGGGGGGUUCACUGUAAAAUGUAUUAAAUUCAUAUUAAAAUUGUUCUCAAAUCAAGUCAAUCUAAUUUUAAUUCAAAUGAAAUAAAAAAUUAAUAGAUAAAAUGGAGUUAAAACAAAACCAAAUUUAAAUAGAACUUUUAUUGAAGAACUAAAAAGUUAAAAUACAAAAGAGGAUUUUUAUUAAGAUAUUUUAUUUUAAAAGUAAUUGAAUGUGUCAAAUUUAAUUAAGAGUAAUUCAAAGUAAUAGGGACCCUCCUUAGCCGUGCGGUAAGACGCGCGGCUACAAAGCAAGACGAUGCUGAGGGUGGCUGGGUUCGAUUCCCGGUGCCGGUCUAGGCAAUUUUCGGAUUGGAAAUUGUCUCGACUUCCCUGGGCAUAAAAGUAUCAUCGUGCUAGCCUUAUGAAUUACGGAUCCAAAAAUGGUAACCUGGCUUAGAAACCUCGCAGUUAACUGUGGAAGUGCUUAAUGAACACUAAGCUGCAAGGCGGCUCUGUCCCAGUGUGGGGAUGUAAUGCCAAUAAGAAGAAGAAUUCAAAGUAAUUUGGAAUUUAUUUCAUAUUAGGAUUUUUUUCAAAUUGAAUUUCAAUUAAACUUUGAAAAUAAAUUAAAAUUAAAUUCAAAUCGACUUAAAAUAAAAUUGAAGGUAAAUUAUAAUAAAUAAAACUAGAUGAAAACUAAUUUGGUUUUGAACCAAAUUAACAAUGCUUCUGGCCUGCUUUUCAACGUAGUAUACGGAAGUAUUCUAUUAACGUUUCCUCAGUUAUUAAUUAAAAGCUUUCUAUACCCGCCUUUGCAUGAGUAUGUAUGUUAUAUGGCAAGUACAAUGGAUACACUAUGCCCAGAGAGUCGAUAAUCUUUUCCAUCCGAAAACAUCCUAGACUGGACCGAGAAUCCUACGUGUUUCUCGCAAGGAUAACUGGAGACCCUAAAUGAAACUUAUUCAAAAAAUAAAUUUAAUGUGACUAAUGAAAAUAUAAAAAUGUAGGUCUAAAUUUAAUUAAGAUUUAAUUGAUAUUACAAUUGGGAUUGAAUUUGAACUGAACUGAAUGAUAAAGAUAAUUAAUAAGAUUGAAGUUCUCAUCUAGCAUUUUCUUCUUCAUUAUUGGCAUAACAUCCCUCACUGAGACAUUGCCGCCUCGCAGCUUAGUGUUCAUCAAGGAGCUUUCACAGUUAUGAACUGCGAGGAUUCAAGGUCAUGUAACCAUUUUUGCAGUUGUAUAUAUCAUGAUACUUUUAUGCCCAGAGAUAAUAGAAAUUAAAAUUGAACUGAAGUAAAUUAAAACUCAAUUGAAAUUAAAUAGGGAAAAAUAAUAAACUAAACUUAUAUACUAAAUAUUUAAAUGAUGUUAGAAUAGAAAUAAAUUGGUAUAAAA